RNAcentral lists this ribosomal RNA (496 nucleotides) under uncultured bacterium. RNAcentral's name for it is "partial 16S ribosomal RNA". It matches the Rfam family "Bacterial small subunit ribosomal RNA", at positions 28 to 507 of the family's 1533-position model. The record is from RNAcentral.
GACGAACGCUGGCGGCGUGCCUAAUACAUGCAAGUAGAACGCUGAAGAGAGGAGCUUGCUCUUCUUGGAUGAGUUGCGAACGGGUGAGUAACGCGUAGGUAACCUGCCUUGUAGCGGGGGAUAACUAUUGGAAACGAUAGCUAAUACCGCAUAACAAUGGAUGACACAUGUCAUUUAUUUGAAAGGGGCAAUUGCUCCACUACAAGAUGGACCUGCGUUGUAUUAGCUAGUAGGUGAGGUAAUGGCUCACCUAGGCGACGAUACAUAGCCGACCUGAGAGGGUGAUCGGCCACACUGGGACUGAGACACGGCCCAGACUCCUACGGGAGGCAGCAGUAGGGAAUCUUCGGCAAUGGGGGCAACCCUGACCGAGCAACGCCGCGUGAGUGAAGAAGGUUUUCGGAUCGUAAAGCUCUGUUGAAGUCAAGAACGGGUGUGAGAGUGGAAAGUUCACACUGUGACGGUAGCUUACCAGAAAGGGACGGCUAACUACGUG